Molecule: unclassified non-coding RNA, 551 nt
Filed under: Hevea brasiliensis (rubber tree)
Lineage: Eukaryota; Viridiplantae; Streptophyta; Magnoliopsida; Malpighiales; Euphorbiaceae
Source: RNAcentral
GGGCUAUGCUACAAAACCUAUCAAGACUACUGAAUUAACUGAAAAAUGCAGAAGUUAAGUGAAUGAUAUUUACAUGUGCUAGCUCCAAAUGAAUGACAGACGAAACAACAGGGUUGGAAUUGACCUUGUAACUAUGUCGGUGCUGCUAAUGCUCAUCAUCGGUUUCUUGUUUCUUGACCAAAGACCAGUUGGUUUGCACACUACUUUCAUAUCCACUGCUAUCACCUGAUUCAAUUACACGCUUGUCCAUUACCCUCUCUUUAGCACCGUCACGAUAUAAACGACCACCAUGCUCCCUUGAAGCCCGUCGCUCAUCACGAAAGGGAAAGUCAUCAGCUUCAAGCAUGUGUAUUACUUGUCCCAUUUUUGGUCUCUUCUGAGCAUUGGGAUCAACACAGCGUAAUGCUACCAAAAGAACACGUUUAAGGGCUCUUGAAGAGGGCUUCUCAGGUAUCUUGGGAUCCACAACACCCUCGGCAUUCCGGUUUGAAACCAUUAUUUUAAGCCAAUCAACCAGAGUUACCUCUCCAGGAGGACGGCUGUAAUCCACC